ACAAACUUGGUCAUUUAGAGGAAGUAAAAGUCGUAACAAGGUUUCCGUAGGUGAACCUGCGGAAGGAUCAUUAACACCAAAACCUCGUAUCCCACAAGGAUACAAACCAACCUCUGUACGAACCGUUCAAACCCCCCCCUAGGCUUGGGAUGAGGCAUGAGUUGGUGUGUGCGUGAGUGCACGCGCCUUCAUGUUCUUUCCCGGGUCGCCUGUCCCUUGUGAAAAAUUUUAUCCCAAACGAUUUCUGAAUAACUGUCUGAGUAAUCUUUUGUUUCUUUAAUCGGAAACGAAAAACGUGGAAAACGUGAAACAACUCUUAACAACGGAUAUCUUGGCUCUCGCAUCGAUGAAGAACGCAGC
RNAcentral lists this unclassified non-coding RNA (360 nucleotides) under uncultured fungus. RNAcentral describes it as "partial contains small subunit ribosomal RNA, internal transcribed spacer 1, and 5.8S ribosomal RNA". The stretch from base 1 to 73 matches the Rfam family "Eukaryotic small subunit ribosomal RNA", at positions 1759 to 1831 of the family's 1831-position model. Lineage: Eukaryota; Fungi. The record is from RNAcentral.